CGCUUUUUCUUUCACCGGAGCUUGCUCCACCGAAAAGAAAAGAGUGGCGAACGGGUGAGUAACACGUGGGUAACCUGCCCAUCAGAAGGGGAUAACACUUGGAAACAGGUGCUAAUACCGUAUAACACUAUUUUCCGCAUGGAAGAAAGUUGAAAGGCGCUUUUGCGUCACUGAUGGAUGGACCCGCGGUCAUUAGCUAGUUGGUGAGGUAACGGCUCACCAAGGCAACGAUGCAUAGCCAACCUGAGAGGGUGAUCGGCCACACUGGGACUGAGACACGGCCCAGACUCCUACGGGAGGCAGCAGUAGGGAAUCUUCGGCAAUGGACGAAAGUCUGACCGAGCAACGCCGCGUGAGUGAAGAAGGUUUUCGGAUCGUAAAACUCUGUUGUUAGAGAAGAACAAGGAUGAGAGUAAAAUGUUCAUCCCUUGACGGUAUCUAACCAGAAAGCCACGGCUAACUACGUGC
Molecule: ribosomal RNA, 468 nt
Filed under: Enterococcus casseliflavus
Lineage: Bacteria; Bacillati; Bacillota; Bacilli; Lactobacillales; Enterococcaceae
Description: bacterial SSU rRNA
Rfam family: Bacterial small subunit ribosomal RNA
Source: RNAcentral